RNAcentral lists this unclassified non-coding RNA (2861 nucleotides) under Rhodotorula toruloides. Lineage: Eukaryota; Fungi; Basidiomycota; Microbotryomycetes; Sporidiobolales; Sporidiobolaceae. The record is from RNAcentral.
ACUCUCCUCCUCGCUCGACCCGCUCGACAACUCCGCCAUCUCUGGCACAAACGCCAGACGCCCCUUCAGCUUGCGCACCGCCUCCUUCGCCGCCAGAUCCGCCGCUUCAUUCCUGACAACGCCGACGUGGCCUGGCGACCAUGAGAGGUGGAUCGUGGUGCUCACUUGGACGAGGAGCGAGCCGGCGGGAAGUGACUUGACGAGCUGGGUGUGCUCGUUCGUACCACGCCGCACCCGCCCAGACCAGUCGCGGCACGACGCAUGCGACCACGAGUUGACGGACGAACUUCGGUUUCAAGCCGGCCUUCGAUCGCGCGAGUAACAAUAUGGCUGUGGCGGAUCUAGAGGCGCGGGAGGCGCAGAGGGAGGUGUGGUCGUGGAAGGAUAACCAACGUUCACAUCGUUGAUCCAACCAAAACCGCACGUCGACGUCAUCUCGCAGGCCUCGAGUAGUGGCGCGUUGUACGAAAGGAAGAGGAUCGGCGAGAGGGGGUGCAAGACCGCUUGCUCAAGAAGGAGCGGAUCCAGUCGCAGGCGGGUUUGGGCAAGCCACGGGUCGCCAGACGACCGCGUCUUCGGCUGAUCUCCUCCGGCGCCCGCCUAAAUGCAACGGCAGCAGCAACCCGAACGAUUCGGCUAGAUGCGAUAGGCGAGCUGCGACGAUUCGCUCGAGCCCCUUUGCGAUACACCUCUCGAACGCGAUCAGCCAAUACGCCUUUGGAUCACGGUAGUCCGGCUUCUUUGGCUUGCGCAGCACGACGCACGAGGCGUCACGCCAGGCUCGGGGGACAUAGCCGAGGCAAAGGGAGGCGCGGUAGAGCGAGACGAGGUGCGGGAGGAGGAGAGGGAGGAGCAGUUGGAGGACGUGGUUGGGUCCGGCCAGGGCAAGGACGGCGUCGGCGGAACGUGCGGUGCGGCCUCCUCGAGUUCUGCGGGAGUGAUGGUGGCCUCGCUUGCGCGGGAUUCAAAUCUGUAACGACUCGAUUGCGUAGCCCUUGGAGGGUUGCAAUACGACAGGUGAGAACGUACUUGCUGACGUUCCUCACCCUCAGGAACCAUCCCUCUCCCUCCUUCCUCACCUCUUCCCUUCGCCUCGUCGUUCGCCGUCGCCGUCGACAUCGCCAUCUUCGCCUUCGCCUUCGCCCUCGCCUUCGCCUUCGCCUUCGCCUUCGUCGCGUUUGCUGCCGUCGUCGCCGUUGUCGCCGCUGCCGCCGUCUUCUUCGUCCUCAUGGAUGUUUCUGUAGAGGUUGCGGUACCGUCCAGCGCGAAGGUGACAUGUCGGAAUUGCAGGCGGGUGGGGGUGGAGUUGGCGGGAGAGCGGCUGGUUGAGGGGGAGUUGUGGGCGCGUUGGGAGGGUUGGGAGGGACGGUGGGGAGGAGAAGCGGGCGUAGCAGGGCGAGUUUGUCGGAGGGAGAGGUCGCAGCGUCGCCUCCGUCACGCUCGCCAUCUCGAGUUCCUCCCACUCUUCCCUCUUCCGCCGCAUCAUCGUCUUGAUUUCGUUCCUCCGCCUCUUCUUCUCUCGCCAGGCUUCUUCCCAUUCCUCCUUGCGCCCUUCGAUGCUCCGCAAUCGGAACGCGCGGUUGGCAGCGCGCCUUGCCGCCCUACUUGCAUUUGCGAGCUCCUUGUCCCACCAGGGUGUGACUCUGCCGGCUCGGGCGCGACCGAAGGGCGUUGCAGCGGAUAUGGCAAUCUGGAGGACUGAGGGAUCCGAGCACAAGGUCGAGCGGGCGCGGCGGGUGCGAGCGGGUGUGUGGGUAGUAGGUGGGUGUGUUGGGCGGGAGGAGGUGGACCAGGUUGAAUUGGGAGAAGGUUGAAGUCGCCGGCGAUGAUGACGAGGAACGACCGCGGCGUUGAGGCGAGCAGCUGCGGGAGGACGGAUGAGACGGAGUGGUUGUAAGCAGCUCGACAUCGACUGCCGUGACGUCGCCUGACUCGACCGCAACUUGUGUCGCGACGGCCGGACCGAGGCAGAUCGAGAUGAGGAUGAUGUUGCGGAUGGGCGCGGGUUCGUCGUCGGGGAGCGAAGUUGGUGGAGGGAUGAUGAGGCGCCACGACGACGGUAUGACGGGGAGGUCUCGGGGUGGUUCUUGAAUGAGGAGGAGGUCGGUGGUUGCGGAGCUGGGGUUGGCAAGGAGGCGGAGGAGGUUGUCUUCGGAGCGGUUCAGGUUGUACGUGGUGAUGAUUCUCCUUCGUCUUGGGCUGAACGAUCCGUCGCGCCCUCGUCACUCUCUUCUCCGACUCCCCCUUCGCACCCAUCGCUCCCCUUGCCGUCACUGGCGGUGGCUUUGGCACCCGCGUCUUCACCUUUCCGACUGUUCUCCACUCUUUCCCUUCCGACUUUUCUUCUUCGCUUUCCCUCCUUUUCCCGCUUGUCACGACUGCCGCCUUCGACGUUGGGAACGCCUUCUCAGUCUCGUCCGCCCAGGACUGGUUGGCUUCGCUCGGCGUCGACUCGAACUCGAUGAUCGGCAUGGCACGGUACUGGGUUGGGCGGUCGGCGAGCGGCGACGGGAUGUGAGACCAGAUUCCGCUGGUGGGUUCGGACUCGAGGUAGGGUGGGGCUGAGGCGUCUUGGCGGCGGGCCGCGAGCGUCGGCGAAAGAGGGGAGUCGUCGGCCAGGUUCAUGUUGGAGGUUGAGGGGGCAGAUGCUCCUGUGGAUGGCGUCGCGUCGAUGUGGUGGUUGGUGGUGGUCUGUGCGCGGCGCGACGGCGAGACAGAAUCAACAGUCUCGUCGAGAACGGCGCCGAAGUCGUCGUCGCCGUGCCUUUUGAUGGAGAACUCGGACAGUCCGGGCGGGAGGAUGGGCUCGAACGGGUUCGAGGGCGUAGAGGACGUUGUAGUGGUUGUAAUGGGCAAGUUGC